AAAGGGUGUGUUUUACUAUCAAAUUUAAGCAUGAAAUGCGCUAUUCAAAUAGAAAUUAAACAAAUGCCUAAGGGCCGUGACAUGUGCGUCACUUCAACAGUGAAUCAACAUCUUCUUUCAAUCUAAAAACAAAAAUCAAUCGCAAAAAGAGAGUGCUACUUCAUUGAAUGAAAAUAAACUAAAAGAAAGAUGCUUCAUUCAGUCAGCUCAAAAUAUAAAUCAACGUUAACAUUCAAGUAAAACUCCAAAUAAAAUACUUCAGCCUUUGCACAAAAUGAAAAGGAAAAGAAGAUGUGUUUCCUUCAUUCCCUCAAAACCGUGACCAUCUCCCCACAUUUUAAAAAAACGUUGCAGCUAAAAGACCUCAGCAAGUGACGGCUGGUGCUACCUUAAAGGCCGUGAGGUGUGUGAUGGGUGUUGCGGCCCAUACAAAUUUGAUGGCAUAUAAGAAUUGCAGUAUAGCUAGGGAAUGACUCCUAGGUCGUCUCUCAAGGACCAAACUGUGGUUCGAGAAUCAGGUCUCACAUGAAAGGGGGGGUUGAAAGUGGUUCUAUGAAUGCAAAUCGACUGAAUUAAAGCACGAAGUUAGACCUAACUCACAGUAUUGAAACGGAUGGACACUAAAGCUAACAUUACAACUAAAUCACCACAACUAAACAUAGAAAACAUUAAAGUAAAAAAAAAAAAUAUUAAACGUCUAACACUGUAACAAAAAUAUCUAAAUAUAAUUAAAGCCAUUAAAAUGCAACACUAAAUUAAAAAUAUAAAACCCAACUCAACAAACUAUAUGAAAUUAAAUUACAACAAAAAAAUAAAUAACACAAUUUACUUUUAGCAAUUAACAUGACCUAUGACAUCUACCAAAUGAAAUUUAAUUUGCCAAAUGGCCUAAGGGANNN
Molecule: long non-coding RNA, 899 nt
Filed under: Vigna radiata
Lineage: Eukaryota; Viridiplantae; Streptophyta; Magnoliopsida; Fabales; Fabaceae
Description: long non-coding RNA (VRAD_LNC003456)
Source: RNAcentral